RNAcentral lists this ribosomal RNA (918 nucleotides) under uncultured bacterium. RNAcentral's name for it is "bacterial SSU rRNA". It matches the Rfam family "Bacterial small subunit ribosomal RNA", at positions 11 to 927 of the family's 1533-position model. The record is from RNAcentral.
GUUUGAUCCUGGCUCAGAUUGAACGCUGGCGGCAUGCCUUACACAUGCAAGUCGAACGGCAGCACGGGAGCAAUCCUGGUGGCGAGUGGCGAACGGGUGAGUAAUAUAUCGGAACGUGCCCAGUCGUGGGGGAUAACGCAGCGAAAGCUGUGCUAAUACCGCAUACGAUCUAUGGAUGAAAGCGGGGGACCGUAAGGCCUCGCGCGAUUGGAGCGGCCGAUAUCAGAUUAGCUUGUUGGUGGGGUAAAAGCCCACCAAGGCGACGAUCUGUAGCUGGUCUGAGAGGACGACCAGCCACACUGGAACUGAGACACGGUCCAGACUCCUACGGGAGGCAGCAGUGGGGAAUUUUGGACAAUGGGCGCAAGCCUGAUCCAGCAAUGCCGCGUGCAGGAUGAAGGCCUUCGGGUUGUAAACUGCUUUUGUACGGAACGAAACGGCUCUUUCUAAUAAAGAGGGCUAAUGACGGUACCGUAAGAAUAAGCACCGGCUAACUACGUGCCAGCAGCCGCGGUAAUACGUAGGGUGCGAGCGUUAAUCGGAAUUACUGGGCGUAAAGCGUGCGCAGGCGGUUAUAUAAGACAGAUGUGAAAUCCCCGGGCUCAACCUGGGACCUGCAUUUGUGACUGUAUAGCUAGAGUACGGUAGAGGGGGAUGGAAUUCCGCGUGUAGCAGUGAAAUGCGUAGAUAUGCGGAGGAACACCGAUGGCGAAAGCAAUCCCCUGGACCUGUACUGACGCUCAUGCACGAAAGCGUGGGGAGCAAACAGGAUUAGAUACUCCUGGUAGUCCACGCCCUAAACGAUGUCAACUGGUUGUUGGGUCUUCACUGACUCAGUAACGAAGCUAACGCGUGAAGUUGACCGCCUGGGGAGUACGGCCGCAGGUGAACUCAAAGGAAUUGACGGGGACCCGCACA